GACGAACGCUGGCGGCAUGCCUAAUACAUGCAAGUCGAACGCUGAAGCACUCUGCUUGCAGAGUGCGGAUGAGUGGCGAACGGGUGAGUAACACGUGGGAAAUCUGCCCUAGGAGUGGGGGAUAACAUUCGGAAACGGAUGCUAAUACCGCAUAUCUUUUUGAACCGCAUGGUUCUUAAACGAAAGACGGCUUCGGCUGUCGCUCUUAGAUGAUCCCGCGGCGUAUUAGUUAGUUGGUGGGGUAAAGGCCUACCAAGACCAUGAUACGUAGCCGACCUGAGAGGGUGAUCGGCCACACUGGGACUGAGACACGGCCCAGACUCCCUACGGGAGGCAGCAGUGAGGAAUAUUGGUCAAUGGCGAGAGCCUGAACCAGCCAAGUAGCGU
Molecule: ribosomal RNA, 387 nt
Filed under: uncultured bacterium
Lineage: Bacteria
Description: bacterial SSU rRNA
Rfam family: Bacterial small subunit ribosomal RNA
Source: RNAcentral